This is a long non-coding RNA of Triplophysa dalaica, 261 nucleotides long. RefSeq lists it as uncharacterized. Lineage: Eukaryota; Metazoa; Chordata; Actinopteri; Cypriniformes; Nemacheilidae. The record is from RefSeq and is a predicted model, not a curated record. The transcript has 3 exons.
GUGCGUUAGCUUUAAACUGUGCAAAGAUUAAAAAUGAAAAGGCGGCACUAUCAGUCUGGUGCAAAGAAGAGGAAGAAGAGGAAAGGAGAUGAGAAAAGAAAGGAUCAAGAAAGGGGGCACUUUUGAAGUAUUUUCUAAAGAAUAAACUUACAGCUGGUGAAAAUGCAGCGGCUGCCUCCUCCUCACAUGACAGUCUUGGCCCUGUCUCACCCUACAUUGGCCUUGCUUCCGGCUUAUCUGUUACCUCCACCACAGGUAGUG